Tripterygium wilfordii is the source of this 566-nucleotide long non-coding RNA. RefSeq lists it as uncharacterized. Lineage: Eukaryota; Viridiplantae; Streptophyta; Magnoliopsida; Celastrales; Celastraceae. The transcript is spliced from 3 exons. The record is from RefSeq and is a predicted model, not a curated record.
GCUUUCAAAAGAGUGAGGAAACAGUGCGCACUUCACUCUCUGAACCUCUCUACUCUCUCUCCGUCGUACGUCACGUCAGAGACUUGUCGACGUUUCGAAUUCUUCGUAUUUUCUUCGCUUGUCAGGGAAUACGAAAGCCCUAAUUUAUCAUCCAGUGAAAUCGACAGUCUCAGUCUUCGUUCAAGAACAUACAUUUCACAAUCGAAGUUUCGAGAACUAAAAUGGGAGCAGGAAGGAAGAAACAUACACUUUUAUUAAAGGAAAAGUCUCAAAGUUCAUGGACGGUAAAUUGCAGUGCAAGUGCUAGAAACCUAUUGAAGAAAGACCUUUGUGCGGUCAUCUUUGGUUGCAAGCACAAUACAAUCAAAGAGUGUUUUUCUAAACAGCUGCUUGGAUUACCUUCUCCCCAUUUCUCUUAUGUGAAGAACAUCAAUCCCGGGUUACCAUUGUUUUUGUUCAACUAUAGUGAUAGGAGGCUUCAUGGCAUCUUUGAGGCUUCAAGUCAUGGGAAAUUGAAUAUUGAUCCAUAUGGGUGGACUGAUGGUUCAGAUCAGACCCUAUUUGCC